GGUCCUAUAGCUCAGCUGGAUAGAGCGUUGCCCUCCGGAGGCAAAGGUCAAAGGUUCGAAUCCUUUUGGGACCACCA
Molecule: transfer RNA, 77 nt
Filed under: Bdellovibrionales bacterium
Lineage: Bacteria; Pseudomonadati; Bdellovibrionota; Bdellovibrionia; Bdellovibrionales
Description: tRNA-Arg
Rfam family: tRNA
About the family: Transfer RNA (tRNA) molecules are approximately 80 nucleotides in length. Their secondary structure includes four short double-helical elements and three loops (D, anti-codon, and T loops). Further hydrogen bonds mediate the characteristic L-shaped molecular structure. tRNAs have two regions of fundamental functional importance: the anti-codon, which is responsible for specific mRNA codon recognition, and the 3' end, to which the tRNAs corresponding amino acid is attached (by aminoacyl-tRNA synthetases). tRNAs cope with the degeneracy of the genetic code in two manners: having more than one tRNA (with a specific anti-codon) for a particular amino acid; and 'wobble' base-pairing, i.e. permitting non-standard base-pairing at the 3rd anti-codon position.
Source: RNAcentral